GGGAGAGGGGAAGAAAAGGCUAGACUGUGAUAGUGCUGAGCCGAGGGCCAAACUGUGAGAGUUGUGAGCCGAGAUAAGCUUAGUGCUACCUCUUUUCUUUUGUUUAUUAUUUUCUUUGAAUAAGAGGAUUGAAAGUUUCUGAAUAUUGUGAAGUGAAUUAUGGAAUGGAAAUGUGAUUGGUAUUAUUUGAGAAGAAAAAAGAUUGAAUGCUGAAAUCUGAUUGUAGUUCAACAGAGAGAAUGAAUUUGUGUUUGUGUGAAACACUGUAAUGUGAAUGGCAAUUCUGUGUGAAGAAUUCUAGUGAUUGGAAUGAGGGUAAUUGUGUACUGAAAGCUGUGAAGGGGCAGUAUUACAAUUGGAGAUUAUGAGGGUGAAUAUAUUGGUGGAAAUAGCAAUUAUUGAUAUGACUAAAUUGCUGUAAGGAAGAGACCGAUAAGGUGAAGGAGGAGAUUAUAGUUUCCUUGUGUCUUCAGAUAUUGAAAAUAAAGAUGAUACAUUUAGGAGGUAAUUGAUUGUGUGACGCUAACAUGAA
This 532-nucleotide long non-coding RNA is filed under the name Physcomitrium patens. RNAcentral describes it as "long non-coding RNA (PPAT_LNC007561)". The record is from RNAcentral. Lineage: Eukaryota; Viridiplantae; Streptophyta; Bryopsida; Funariales; Funariaceae.